Nicotiana attenuata is the source of this 203-nucleotide long non-coding RNA. RefSeq lists it as uncharacterized. The transcript has 2 exons. The record is from RefSeq and is a predicted model, not a curated record. NCBI's taxonomy places the organism in Eukaryota, Viridiplantae, Streptophyta, Magnoliopsida, Solanales, Solanaceae.
GGAUUGAAGGGACACAAUGUCGAGCAGCUUUGGAGAUGGAUAUGCAACGAGAUCGGAUGAAGAAGGUUUUGGAGGCAUCUAUGGAGGAAACAAAGAGGAUGAAGAAAAGAUAAUCCAUGGAAAAGCCCCUGAGUAUGAUACUAAUCAAGGAAGUGAAGUCAAAGAGAAGGAGAAGGCACGUAAUCAGCGUCAAGCAGCAUGAA